This is a long non-coding RNA of Nyctereutes procyonoides (raccoon dog), 324 nucleotides long. RefSeq lists it as uncharacterized. The transcript is spliced from 2 exons. The record is from RefSeq and is a predicted model, not a curated record. NCBI's taxonomy places the organism in Eukaryota, Metazoa, Chordata, Mammalia, Carnivora, Canidae.
CACAGGCAGAGGGAGAAGCAGGCUCCAUGCACCGGGAGCCCGACGUGGGAUUCGAUCCCGGGUCUCCAGGAUCGCGCCCUGGGUCAAAGGCAGGCGCCAAACCGCUGCGCCACCCAGGGAUCCCCCAAGGAUAUCAUUCUAGGAAGACAUGAUGCCUGGAAUGGUAACAGAAGUCUUGAAAGCAUGGAAGAAUGAAAAAGGAAAUUCCAUGAGCAUCGGUCUUAACCUUUGACAUUGAUGAGUUGCUGAUCCAACCCGAGAACUGCUAAUCUCUGAACAUCUUGCUUUGUCACUUUUAUUAAUAAAACUGAAUUGUUUGAGUUA